GACGAACGCUGGCGGCGUGCUUAACACAUGCAAGUCGAACGGAAAGGCCCUGCUUUUGUGGGGUUCUCGAGUGGCGAACGGGUGAGUAACACGUGAGUAACCUGCCCUUGACUUUGGGAUAACUUCAGGAAACUGGGGCUAAUACCGGAUAGGAGCUCCUGCUGCAUGGUGGGGGUUGGAAAGUUUCGGCGGUUGGGGAUGGACUCGCGGCUUAUCAGCUUGUUGGUGGGGUAGUUGCUUACCAAGGCUUAGACGGGUAGCCGACCUGAGAGGGUGGCCGGCCACAAUGGGACUGAGAUACGGCCCAGACUCCUACGUGAGGCAGCAGUGGGGAAUAUUGCACAAUAGGCGGAAGCCUGAUGCAGCAACGCCGCGUGCGGGAUGACGGCCUUCGGGUUGUAAACCGCUUUCGCCUGUGACGAAGCGUGAGUGACGGUAAUGGGUAAAGAAGCACCGGCUAACUACGUG
RNAcentral lists this ribosomal RNA (468 nucleotides) under uncultured bacterium. Its description in RNAcentral is "partial 16S ribosomal RNA". It matches the Rfam family "Bacterial small subunit ribosomal RNA", at positions 28 to 507 of the family's 1533-position model. The record is from RNAcentral.